RNAcentral lists this long non-coding RNA (3888 nucleotides) under Sus scrofa (pig). RNAcentral's name for it is "lncRNA (ENSSSCG00000058467.1)". The record is from RNAcentral. Lineage: Eukaryota; Metazoa; Chordata; Mammalia; Artiodactyla; Suidae.
GCUCUUCUCCCAGGUUCCCUCUGAUGCGGCUUUCCCCUUCCCCGCCCCUAGAGUAUUGCUCCCUUCCUCUGCGACAGCUUUGUUUUCUGGUCUCCCAGGCAGUCUCUGCCCUGUCAAAUGGUUUAGAGACCUCCCAAGCAGUUUCCGCUCUUCCCCGCCCCCCUAGCCCGGGGACUAAUCUCUGGAGCCGAGGUCUCGGUGCCCAGCCCCACCCAGGUGUCCCCCGGCCCUUUCUUGGGGACUAACCUUCGGAGGCGAGGUCUCGGUGCCCAGCCCCCACCCAGGCGUCUCAAUUUUUGGUGACUGUGCCCGUAGUUCAGAUGGUCCGUUGGGUUCUUGAUCGGUUUUUCCGUACUCCGACUUACUGCUACACUCUUCUCUGCAUCUGGGGAUUCCUCCGGUUCGUUUGAUCUUUCGCCCGGUAGGUAGGUGACUUUCCAGGGUGCGAGAUCCCUUUCUCCUCCGCAGUUCCCUUUCGGGAGCGCCCGUCCUGCUGGGAUUCACCUUCUCUCACUCUCCUCUUUUCUCCUGUUCUGCCCAAUAAUGUCACGAACUUCUUGCCGUUAUUGGAGUUUAGGUUCCUCUGCCAGCAAUUGGUUGCUGUUCUGUGCGAGUCAUUUCUUCUGUAGAUGUGCUUUUUUUUGUUGUGUUUGUGGGAGAGGGCGAGCGUGUCCCCCUACUCCUCCGCCAUCUUGUCCUCUCUCUCCUCACUGUAAUUUUGAUUUACAUUUCUCUAAUAAUUAGCAAUAUUAGACAUUUUUUUACAGUUUGAUAACUUUAUUUAUUUUUAGGUGCUAUUCUUAUUCCUAUUUUAUUUUAUAUUACUCAAUGAAUUUAUUACAUUUAGAGUUGUUCAAUGAUCGUAACAACCCAAUUUUAUAGCAUUUCCAUCCCAAACCCCCAGUGCAUCCCCCUACCCCCCAAACUGUCUCCUUUGAAAACCAAAAGUUUUUCAAAGUCUGUGAGUCAGCACAUCUGUUCUGCAAAGUUCAUUGUGUCCUUUUUUCAGAUUCUACAUGUAAGUGAUAGCAUUUGAUGUUGGUGUCUCAUUGUCUGACUGACUUUACUUAGUAUAAAAACUUCUAGAUCCAUCCAUGUUGCUACAAAUGCCAUUAUUUCUUUCCUUUUGAUGGCUGAGUAAUACUCCAUUGUGUGUGUGUACCACAUCUUCUUUAUCCACUCCUCUGUUGAUGGACAUUUAGGUUGUUUCUGUGUCUUGGCUACUGCAAAUAGUGCUGUAAUGAACAUCAGAGUACAUGUGUCUUUUCAAGUCAUGGUUUUCUCUGGAUAGAUUUCCAGGAGUGGGAUUGCUGGAUCAAAUGGUAGUUCUAUUUUUAGUUUUCUGAGGAAUGUCCAUACUGUUUUCCACAGUGGUUGCACCAAUUAUAUUCCCACCAACAGUGUAAUAGGGUUCCUUUUUUCUCCACACCCUCUCCAGCACUUGUUUGUAGACUUUUUGAUGAUGGCUAUUCUGGCUGCUGUAAGGUGGUACCCCAUAGUGGUUUUGAUUUUCAUUUCUCUAAUGAUGAGUGGCAUUUUUUGAUGAGCUUACUGGCCAUCCAUGUGUCUUCUUUGUAGAAAUAUCUAUUUAAAUCUUUUGCACAUUUUUCAAUUAUUGUUCUUGUUGUUGUUUUGUUGUAUGAGUUGUUUGUGAAUUUUGGAGAUUAAGCCCUCAUCCGUUCCAUCACUUGCAACUAUUUUCUCCCAUUCUGUAGAUGGUCUUCAUUUUUUAUGAUUUACUUUGCUGUGCAAAAGACUGUGAGUUUGAUUAGGUCCCAUUUCUUUGUUUUUAAUCUCUAUUGCCUUCAGAGACUGAUCUAAGAAAACAUUUUUACAAAUUAUGGCAGAAUAUCUGGCAUAUGCUCUCUUCUAGGGUGUCUUAUGUUUAAGUUUUUAAGCAAUUUUGGGUUUAUUUUUGUGCAUGGUGUGAAGGUGUGUCCUAGUUUCAUUGAUUUACAUGACACUGUCCAGUUUUCCCAGCACCACCUGCCGAAAAGAUUGUCUUUUUCCCAUUUUAUAGUCUUGCCUCCUUUGUCAGAGAUUAAUUGACUGUGGGUGUCUCUAUUUAUUUCUGGGCUUUCUGUUCUGUUCUAUUGAUCCAUGUGUAUGUUUUUGUACCAAUAUCACACCAUCUUGAUUACUGUAGCUUUUUAAUAUUGUCUGACAUCUGGAAGAGUAUUGUCUCCUAUUUUUUCCCCCCUCAGAAUUGCUUUGGCAAUUCUGGGUCUUUUAUAGUUCCAUACAAAUCCUUAGAACAAUCUGUAAUUGUUCUAGCUCUGUGAAAAAUGUCAUGGGUAAUUUGAUAGGGAUUGCAUUAAAUCUGUAGAUUGUUUUGGGUAGUAUGGCCAUUUUAAAAAUAUUAAUUCUUCUGGGAGAAUGGGAUAUCUUUCCAUUUCUUUUAUUAUUUUUUCAUUAAUAAAGGAAUCCAUUUAGUUUCCUUUAUUAUUGUUUUAUAGUUCUCAGUAUAUAAGUCUUUCACUUCCUUCGUCAGGUAUUUUAUUUUCAGAGUUUGAUUUUAGAAGUUAUUUUUUAUAUUCCUUUUCUAACAGUUCAUUGUUAAUACACAGAAAUGCAACUGAAUUCUGAAUGUUAAUCCUUUAUCCUGCUACUUUGCUGAAUCCAUUGAUCAGUUAGAAGAGUUUUUGUGUAGAGUCCUUCAGGUUUUCUAUAUAUAGUAUCAUGUUAUCUGCAUAGAGUAACAAUUUUACCUCUUGUUUUCCAAUUUGGAUACCUUUUAUUUCUUUUAUUUGUUCUGAUUGCUGUGGCUAGGAUUUACAACACUAUGCUGAAUAAAAGUGGUGAGAGUGGGCAUCCUGUGUCUUGUUCCAGAUUUUAGUGGGAAGGCUUUCAGUUUUCUCCAUUGAGUAUUAUAUUGGCUGUGGGUUUGUCAUAAAUGGCUUUGAUUAUGUUAAGGUAUGUUCCCUCUAUACCCACUUUUUUUAAGAGUUUUUAUCGUGAAUGGAUGUUGGAUUUUGUGAAAUGCUUUCUCUCAUCUAUUGAGAUGAUCAUGUGGUUUUUGAGCUUUCUGUUGUUAAUGUGAUAUAUGAUGUUGAUUGAUUUGUGUAUACUGAACCAUCCUUGUGAACUUGGGAUGAAUCCCACUUCAUAAUGGUGUAUGAUCUUUUUUAUGUGUUGUUGAAUUCCAUCGGCUAAAAUUUUUUUGAAAAUUUUUGUGUCUAUGUUCAUUAAAGACAGUGGCUUCUAAUUUUCUUUGGUAGUAUCUUUGUCUGGUUUUUGUGUUAGGGUGAUAGAAUGUCUUUAGGAGUCUUCUUUCUUCUUUGAUCUUUUGGAAAAAUUUAAGAAGGAUGGGUAUCAGUUCUUGGUAUGUUUGGCAGAAUUCGCCUGUGAAGCCAUCUGGUCCUGGACUUUUGUUUGUAGGGAGUUUUUUUUAUUAUAUAUUCAAUUUCAUUUCUAGUGAUUGGUGUGUUCAAUUGAUAUAUUUCUUUUUUGUCUGAAAUAGACUGUGAUUUCCAUUCACAUGAAAACUUUUUCUAUCCCCUCACUUUUAAUUUAUAUAUGACCUCUGCCCUCAGCUGAAUUUCUUGUAGGCAACAUAUUGUACACUCUUAUUUUUUUUUCAAUCCAAUCUGCCACUCUUUGUCUUUUGAUGGAACAUUCAGUCCAUUGACAUUUAAGGUAAUUAGUGAUAAAUAUAUAUAUAUUGCCAUUUUAAACCUUCUUUUCCAGUCGAUUCUGUGUUUCUCCUUUAUUCCUUUCUUUUUUUGGUUGGCUGACUUCCUUUUAUUUUAUGCGUGUGUCCUCUUCUUUUUAGUUUCUGUGAAUAUAUUGUUUGGUUUUGAUUUGUGGUUGCCCAGUUUUUCAUGUAUGUUAACCCCUCCUACAUCUGUUUGCUUUAGCCUGAUAGUCAUACAGGCUCAAACACAUUCU